CUGCCUCGGCCGUCCGCAACACAUUCCUGAUUCCUCCGCGCUUCCGCGGUGACAUCGCGCCACUCCCCGGCGGCGCUCCCAUGGCACGAUGCCCCCACCGAGGAUCACCUCGUCCGCGCCCCACCACGAGGUCCUCCGUCUCCUCGAAUCCCAGCAACUCCCCGCCGCGGCGCGCCUCGCGGCCGCACACCCCUCGUCCCCCGUCUCCCUCGCCGCCGUCCUCCUCCGCCACCCGUCACCCCGCCUCGGGUACUGCCUGCACGCCCGCGCCGCGCGCGCGGGACUCCUCGCCGACCGCUACGUCGCCAACGCCCUCCUCGCCUUCUACGUCCGCCUCCCACGGCACCUCCCGUACGCGCUCAGGGCGUUCGACGACCUGCCUCACCGCGAUGUCGUCGCGCACUCCUCCAUACUGGCCGCCUUCCUCCGCGCGGGUCUUCCCCGACGCGCCCUCCAGUCCCUCAGGUCCAUGCUCGCCGGCGCUGACGGCGUCUUUCCUAAUGCCCACGCGCUCUCCGCCGCAGUUAAGGCCUGCGCUGUGCUCCGUGACCGUAAUGUGGGCGCCUGCGUCCACGGGGUCAUCCUUGUCCGGGGAUACGCCGACGACGAUAUCGUGCUGAGCGCGCUGGUGGACAUGUAUGGCCAUACGGCUUCUCCAGGUGACGCACGGAAGGCGUUUGAGGAAAUGUGCACUCCCGACGGGAUAUGCUACACAUCGUUGAUAUCAGCGUUUGUGCGGAAUGAUUGGUUUGAGGAGGCUGUGAGGUGGUUCCGGACUAUGGUGACGAGGAAUGGGGUUGAGCCAGAUGGCUGCACGUUUGGUUCAAUGAUGACAGCGCUGGGGAACUUGAGGAGGGCGAGGCAGGGUAGUGAGGCGCAUGCACAGGUAGUGACUCGUGGUCUGUGUGGGAGUGUGAUCGUGGAGAGCAGCACACUGGACAUGUAUGCCAAGUGCGGGAUGAUGUUGGAGGCACGCAGAGUGUUUGACGAGAUGCAGGUCAGAAAUGCAGUUUCAUGGUCCGCGUUGCUUGGAGGAUAUUGCCAGAAUGCAGAGUACGAGAAGGUUCUUGUGCUGUUCCGGCAGAUGGAUAAGGAAUACGAUGACUCAUAUAGCUUGGGGACUGUUCUGAGGGCAUGUGCUGGUCUAUCUUCUGUGAAGCCAGGAAAAGAGAUCCAUUGCCGGUUUCUGAGGAAUGGAGGCUGGAGAGAUGUGGUUGUCGAGUCUGCACUUGUAGACCUAUAUGCAAAAUGUGGUGCUGUAGACUAUGCAUGUAGAGUUUUUGAAGCGAGUAGUGUUCGUAACACAAUUACUUGGAAUGCCAUGAUUGGCGGCUUCGCUCAGAAUGGCCAUGCUGAGCGAGCUAUCAAUCUGUUCAAUCAGAUGGUCAGGGAAGGAGCCAGGCCUGACUACAUCAGUUUCAUUGGUGUUCUUUUUGCAUGUAGUCACAAUGGAAUGGUUGAGCAAGGAAGGAACUACUUCAACUCUAUGAGCAAGGACUAUGGGAUUGCCCCUGGAAUCGAACACUACAAUUGCAUUGUUGAUCUUCUGAGCAGAGUAGAACUUCUGGAAGAGGCUGAAGAUCUGAUAAACAAGUCACCCUUUAGCAAUGAUUCGUCUUUGUGGGCAGCAAUCCUUGGUGCUUCUGCCACACAGUCUAACCCAGAUGUAGCAGAAAGGGUUGCCAAGAAAAUGAUGGAGUUGGAGCCUCAGUACCACUUGAGCUACAUUCUUCUUGAAAAUGUGUACAGAACAGUUGGACGGUGGGAGGAUGCUUCAGAGAUAAGGAGGUUGAUGAAAUCAAGAAAGCAUAUCAUUAUGUGGAUUCAAGGAGACUUGUUAGACAUGGCAGGCCAAGACGGCAUGACCUGACCCACUAUGGAGACAAUAGUGCGACUGCAAGGCCUGUCCACAAUUAUUGGCUUCUGUGCUGCAAGGGCGGGCAGCAAGGGAAAAACCUCCACGGGGAUAGCAGGAGAUCGAUCAACUCACAAGUGAUAGAGGAGCUCGCGCGUCUGUUGUUAAAGAGCAGGUGAAGGCUGGGCUUCGCAAUGCCGGCUGGCGACGGGAGAGCCAUGUUUGUGGGCGAAGCUUUGGAGGUCGGAAGCAAGAGUCUCCAGUAUUUAGCUUCACCACGAACUUGGGAACAGGAGAGCUAGGAUCACCGGCAGUGACAGGAUGUAGGGAAGACCUGCAACUAAAUAGGAAGAACGGAUUGAUGGAGCCGGAGCAUCUGAACCACAUAUUAUGAGGCCGCGGCCCGAAAUGGAUAUAGCUCGUCUUUUACAUGCUCUCAUCUGGGCCAAUGGCGACGCAAAAUGGUGACGUGAGGCGCCCAAAAAACUUGUGGACCAGCCACAGUUUGUGGCCACGGCUUGGCUCGAUAGGGUUGGGGGAUAAGAACACUAAGAGCAGGGACUGUGCUGCUUGGAGUUUAGCAUGGACUAGGCAUUCUUGUAGUGGUGUACUAUUCUUUGACGAGCCUUUGGAAGAUGUAUGUGGCUAGCCUGCUAGUGCUAGGAGAGGGGAUUCCUUACCCUGAUCAGCUGAUUGCGAUCCGUGUAAUAAUAUCAUAAUAAUAAAUGAUCAAUGAUUUUUUUUCUAGAA
This is an RNA transcript of Brachypodium distachyon (stiff brome), 2605 nucleotides long. It is a transcript of the gene named pentatricopeptide repeat-containing protein At1g03540, with no coding region annotated. NCBI's taxonomy places the organism in Eukaryota, Viridiplantae, Streptophyta, Magnoliopsida, Poales, Poaceae. The transcript is spliced from 3 exons. The record is from RefSeq and is a predicted model, not a curated record.